AGAACGAACGCUGGCGGCAUGCCUAACACAUGCAAGUCGAACGAGACCUUCGGGUCUAGUGGCGCACGGGUGCGUAACGCGUGGGAAUCUGCCCUUGGGUUCGGAAUAACAGUUGGAAACGACUGCUAAUACCGGAUGAUGACGUAAGUCCAAAGAUUUAUCGCCCGGGGAUGAGCCCGCGUAGGAUUAGCUAGUUGGUGAGGUAAAGGCUCACCAAGGCGACGAUCCUUAGCUGGUCUGAGAGGAUGAUCAGCCACACUGGGACUGGGACACGGCCCAGACUCCUACGGGAGGCAGCAGUGGGGAAUAUUGGACAAUGGGCGAAAGCCUGAUCCAGCAAUGCCGCGUGAGUGAUGAAGGCCUUCGGUUGUAAAGCUCUUUACCCGGGAUGAUAAUGACAGUACCGGAGAAUAAGCUCCGGCUAACUCCGCGCCAGCAGCCGC
Molecule: ribosomal RNA, 443 nt
Filed under: uncultured soil bacterium
Lineage: Bacteria
Description: bacterial SSU rRNA
Rfam family: Bacterial small subunit ribosomal RNA
Source: RNAcentral